Alexandromys fortis (reed vole) is the source of this 951-nucleotide long non-coding RNA. RefSeq lists it as uncharacterized. The transcript is spliced from 3 exons. NCBI's taxonomy places the organism in Eukaryota, Metazoa, Chordata, Mammalia, Rodentia, Cricetidae. The record is from RefSeq and is a predicted model, not a curated record.
GAGAGGCUCAUCUCGUUGUUGGAGAAAAUGGCAUCUGGGUUCAGCAAGUUGUUCAUGAUGGAAGGAACCAAUUCUAGGAGCAGAACAGAAUCCGUCAUCUCACAGCAGAGCUCUGCCCCCCAGUUCCUGAGGAGGCACAAGUGGUACCCAUCACCUCCAAUGCAGCCUGUGGCAGAUAUGACAGCAGUGCCUCAAGACACAGAAGUUGGAAGGCCAAGUAACCACACGGGAGUGGGCUGACCUAAGGACUCGGCAUCGAUGAGGAAUGAACACUAGACGAGACAUCCAUAAGAACAGCUGACCAGGACCUCCAGACGCACUGAGCACACAGGGCAUGUGAGGUCUGUCUGGUUCUGGACUCCAGGGGGAACGUACAGGAGCGACCCAGGACAGUGAGGAGCUCAGAGUAGGCACAGGACAUCCCCUGACCACUGUCUUGUAUUUCCCCCGCCAGGCAGGGGCAUUUCUGGGUCUGUUCAGUAAUUUCGAAGAAGAACCAUUGUUUUGUUUUGUUUUUGUUUUUCCUUCCAAGUCUGGCCUGAGGAAACAUAAAUCUGGAGGAGCAAGGGAUCCCUACCAAGAAGCUGUCAAGGAUUUUGCAUCAUCUCCAGGGACACGCAAUCCAUGACAAACAGAAUUACUCAUCUAAAAAACUGCUAAUGCUCAUGACAUUUAUACUACUCCCACUAAAAGUUAAAAUUGUUCCUUAUUACUCUGUAAUAUCUGUAAUUCCCACUGCUCCAUAGAAAUCCAUCACACUUCCUCAAGUUCCAGAAACAAACCCACAUAUAACUGCAAUGAAAUAAGAUUAAAUAUAAUGAUUUGAUGACAACUUAAUCUUAAGGUAAGUCAUUUAAUAAAAACUAAACUUAACUGUUCAAGAGCAAAGAUACUUAGCUUCAAGGGGCAGAGCUUCUUAGAAGAAAACAGAGCCAAAGAUACCCAAAGAUG